RNAcentral lists this transfer RNA (73 nucleotides) under Actinomycetes bacterium. Its description in RNAcentral is "tRNA-Lys". It matches the Rfam family "tRNA". Rfam says of the family: Transfer RNA (tRNA) molecules are approximately 80 nucleotides in length. Their secondary structure includes four short double-helical elements and three loops (D, anti-codon, and T loops). Further hydrogen bonds mediate the characteristic L-shaped molecular structure. tRNAs have two regions of fundamental functional importance: the anti-codon, which is responsible for specific mRNA codon recognition, and the 3' end, to which the tRNAs corresponding amino acid is attached (by aminoacyl-tRNA synthetases). tRNAs cope with the degeneracy of the genetic code in two manners: having more than one tRNA (with a specific anti-codon) for a particular amino acid; and 'wobble' base-pairing, i.e. permitting non-standard base-pairing at the 3rd anti-codon position. The record is from RNAcentral. Lineage: Bacteria; Bacillati; Actinomycetota; Actinomycetes. RNAcentral also lists the same sequence under 3 other names.
GGGUCCUUAGCGCAAUUGGCAGAGCAGCGGACUUUUAAUCCGCGGGUUGUGGGUUCGAUUCCCACAGGGCCCA